GGGCCCGCACAAGCGGAGGAACAUGUGGUUUAAUUCGAUGAUACGCGAGGAACCUUACCUGGGUUUAAAUGGGGAGUGGCAGGUGUCGAAAGAUGCUUUUCCUUCGGGACACUCUUCAAGGUGCUGCAUGGUUGUCGUCAGCUCGUGCCGUGAGGUGUCGGGUUAAGUCCCAUAACGAGCGCAACCCUUGCCGAUAGUUGCCAUCACGUAAAGGUGGGCACUCUAUCGGGACUGCCGGUGUAAACCGUGAGGAAGGUGGGGAUGACGUCAAAUCAGCACGGCCCUUACAUCCAGGGCUACACACGUGUUACAAUGGCCAGUACAGAGGGCCGCUACCCCGCGAGGGGAUGCCAAUCUCGAAAGCUGGUCUCAGUUCGGAUUGAAGUCUGGAACCCGACUUCAUGAAGCCGGAUUCGCUAGUAAUCGCGCAUCAGCCACGGCGCGGUGAAUACGUUCCCGGGCCUU
RNAcentral lists this ribosomal RNA (465 nucleotides) under uncultured bacterium. Its description in RNAcentral is "bacterial SSU rRNA". It matches the Rfam family "Bacterial small subunit ribosomal RNA", at positions 917 to 1382 of the family's 1533-position model. The record is from RNAcentral.